GGGAUAACGAGCCGAAAGGCUCGCUAAUACCGCAUAUGCCGAAAGGUGAAAGGAGUAAUCCGUCUUAAGAUGAGCCCGCGUCCGAUUAGCUAGUUGGUGG
This 100-nucleotide ribosomal RNA is filed under the name uncultured bacterium. RNAcentral's name for it is "partial 16S ribosomal RNA". It matches the Rfam family "Bacterial small subunit ribosomal RNA", at positions 140 to 255 of the family's 1533-position model. The record is from RNAcentral.